RNAcentral lists this ribosomal RNA (441 nucleotides) under uncultured bacterium. RNAcentral's name for it is "partial 16S ribosomal RNA". It matches the Rfam family "Bacterial small subunit ribosomal RNA", at positions 339 to 795 of the family's 1533-position model. The record is from RNAcentral.
CUACGGGUCGCUCCAGUGGGGAAUAUUGGGCAAUGGGCGCAAGCCUGACCCAGCAACGCCGCGUGAGGGAAGAAGGUUUUCGGAUUGUAAACCUCUGUCCUUGGGGACGAAGAAGUGACGGUACCCAAGGAGGAAGCUCCGGCUAACUACGUGCCAGCAGCCGCGGUAAUACGUAGGGAGCAAGCGUUGUCCGGAAUUACUGGGCGUAAAGGGUGCGUAGGCGGCAUAUUAAGUCAGGUGUGAAAUACUCGGGCUCAACCCGAGGGGUGCAUUUGAAACUGAUAAGCUUGAGUGUGAGAGAGGAAAGUGGAAUUCCUAGUGUAGCGGUGGAAUGCGUAGAUAUUAGGAGGAACACCAGUGGCGAAGGCGACUUUCUGGCUCAUAACUGACGCUGAGGCACGAAAGCGUGGGGAGCAAACAGGAUUAGAUACCCCUGUAGUC